Molecule: small nucleolar RNA, 107 nt
Filed under: Gossypium arboreum
Lineage: Eukaryota; Viridiplantae; Streptophyta; Magnoliopsida; Malvales; Malvaceae
Description: Plant small nucleolar RNA R71
Rfam family: Plant small nucleolar RNA R71
About the family: R71 is a member of the C/D box family of snoRNAs containing the C (UGAUGA) and D (CUGA) box motifs.
Source: Rfam by way of RNAcentral
AUUUCAUGAUGAGGGCAUCUUUGUAAUAGUUCUUUAAACCUUUCUCACACCUCAUACAAGGACUCAUCAUCCAACUGUUAGAGGGUAGUAAUCUCAUUCCUCAACUU